This 672-nucleotide ribosomal RNA is filed under the name uncultured bacterium. Its description in RNAcentral is "bacterial SSU rRNA". It matches the Rfam family "Bacterial small subunit ribosomal RNA", at positions 57 to 717 of the family's 1533-position model. The record is from RNAcentral.
GCAGUCGAGGGGCAGCAUGGUCUUAGCUUGCUAAGGCUGAUGGCGACCGGCGCACGGGUGAGUAACACGUAUCCAACCUGCCGUCUACUCUUGGCCAGCCUUCUGAAAGGAAGAUUAAUCCAGGAUGGGAUCAUGAGUUCACAUGUCCGCAUGAUUAAAGGUAUUUUCCGGUAGACGAUGGGGAUGCGUUCCAUUAGAUAGUAGGCGGGGUAACGGCCCACCUAGUCAACGAUGGAUAGGGGUUCUGAGAGGAAGGUCCCCCACAUUGGAACUGAGACACGGUCCAAACUCCUACGGGAGGCAGCAGUGAGGAAUAUUGGUCAAUGGGCGAUGGCCUGAACCAGCCAAGUAGCGUGAAGGAUGACUGCCCUAUGGGUUGUAAACUUCUUUUAUAAAGGAAUAAAGUCGGGUAUGCAUACCCGUUUGCAUGUACUUUAUGAAUAAGGAUCGGCUAACUCCGUGCCAGCAGCCGCGGUAAUACGGAGGAUCCGAGCGUUAUCCGGAUUUAUUGGGUUUAAAGGGAGCGUAGAUGGAUGUUUAAGUCAGUUGUGAAAGUUUGCGGCUCAACCGUAAAAUUGCAGUUGAUACUGGAUGUCUUGAGUGCAGUUGAGGCAGGCGGAAUUCGUGGUGUAGCGGUGAAAUGCUUAGAUAUCACGAAGAACUCCGAUUGCG